This 79-nucleotide transfer RNA is filed under the name Streptomyces globisporus. Its description in RNAcentral is "tRNA-OTHER". RNAcentral also lists the same sequence under 1 other name. Lineage: Bacteria; Bacillati; Actinomycetota; Actinomycetes; Kitasatosporales; Streptomycetaceae. The record is from RNAcentral.
UGGGUUCACCGCCAGGCGAAAGGUCUUGAAAACCGUCGUGGCAGCGAUGUCACCGUGGGUUCAAAUCCCACACCCACCG